Molecule: ribosomal RNA, 801 nt
Filed under: uncultured bacterium
Lineage: Bacteria
Description: bacterial SSU rRNA
Rfam family: Bacterial small subunit ribosomal RNA
Source: RNAcentral
GCGGCAGCGCGGGGGCAACCCUGGCGGCGAGCGGCGAACGGGUGAGUAACAUAUCGGAACGUACCCCGUCGUGGGGGAUAACACAGCGAAAACUGUGCUAAUACCGCAUACGACCUGAGGGUGAAAGCGGGGGACCGUAAGGCCUCGCGCGAUGGGAGCGGCCGAUAUCGGAUUAGCUUGUUGGUGAGGUAAAGGCUCACCAAGGCGACGAUCCGUAGCUGGUCUGAGAGGACGACCAGCCACACUGGAACUGAGACACGGUCCAGACUCCUACGGGAGGCAGCAGUGGGGAAUUUUGGACAAUGGGGGCAACCCUGAUCCAGCCAUUCCGCGUGAGUGAAGAAGGCCUUCGGGUUGUAAAGCUCUUUCAGCAGGAACGAAACGGUGGCCCCUAAUACGGGCUACUAAUGACGGUACCUGAAGAAGAAGCACCGGCUAACUACGUGCCAGCAGCCGCGGUAAUACGUAGGGUGCGAGCGUUAAUCGGAAUUACUGGGCGUAAAGCGUGCGCAGGCGGUUAUGUAAGACAGGUGUGAAAUCCCCGGGCUCAACCUGGGAACUGCGCUUGUGACUGCAUAACUCGAGUGUGGCAGAGGGGGGUGGAAUUCCACGUGUAGCAGUGAAAUGCGUAGAGAUGUGGAGGAACACCGAUGGCGAAGGCAGCCCCCUGGGUCAACACUGACGCUCAUGCACGAAAGCGUGGGGAGCAAACAGGAUUAGAUACCCUGGUAGUCCACGCCCUAAACGAUGCGAACUAGGUGUUGGGGAAGGAGACUUUCUUAGUACCGCAGCUAACGCGUG